This 462-nucleotide ribosomal RNA is filed under the name uncultured Anoxybacillus sp. RNAcentral describes it as "bacterial SSU rRNA". It matches the Rfam family "Bacterial small subunit ribosomal RNA", at positions 925 to 1382 of the family's 1533-position model. Lineage: Bacteria; Bacillati; Bacillota; Bacilli; Caryophanales; Anoxybacillaceae. The record is from RNAcentral.
ACAAGCGGUGGAGCAUGUGGUUAAUUCGAAGCAACGCGAAGAACCUUACCAGGUCUUGACAUCCCUGACAACCCGAGAGAGUCGGGCGGUUCCCCCUUCGGGGGGACAGGGUGACAGGUGGUGCAUGGUUGUCGUCAGCUCGUGUCGUGAGAUGUUGGGUUAAAGUCCCGCAACCGAGCGCAACCCUCGACCUUAGUUGCCAGCAUUCAGUUGGGCACUCUAAGGUGACUGCCGGCUAAAAGUCGGAGGAAGGUGGGGAUGACGUCAAAUCAUCAUGCCCCUUAUGACCUGGGCUACACACGUGCUACAAUGGGCGGUACAAAGGGUCGCGAACCCGCGAGGGGGAGCCAAUCCCAAAAAGCCGCUCUCAGUUCGGAUUGCAGGCUGCAACUCGCCUGCAUGAAGCCGGAAUCGCUAGUAAUCGCGGAUCAGCAUGCCGCGGUGAAUACGUCCCCGGGCCUU